CGGGUGAGUAACACGUGGGUAACCUGCCCUAUGGAGGGGGAUAACACAUAGAAAUGUGUGCUAAUACCGCAUAAUAUAGCCGCAUGCAAAGAUUUGCCAUAGGAUGGACCCGCGGCCCAUUAGCUAGUUGGUGAGGUAACGGCUCACCAAGGCGACGAUGGGUAGCCGACCUGAGAGGGUGAACGGCCACAUUGGAACUGAGACACGGUCCAGACUCCUACGGGAGGCAGCAGUGGGGAAUAUUGCACAAUGGGGGAAACCCUGAUGCAGCAACGCCGCGUGAGCGACGAAGGCCUUCGGGUCGUAAAGCUCUGUCUUAGCUGACGAUUGACGGUCAGCUAGGAGGAAGCCACGGCUAACUACGUGCCAGCAGCCGCGGUAAUACGUAGGUGGCGAGCGUUGUCCGGAUUUACUGGGCGUAAAGGGAGCGUAGGCGGUUUUUUAAGUGGGGUGU
RNAcentral lists this ribosomal RNA (454 nucleotides) under uncultured soil bacterium. RNAcentral describes it as "bacterial SSU rRNA". It matches the Rfam family "Bacterial small subunit ribosomal RNA", at positions 103 to 595 of the family's 1533-position model. The record is from RNAcentral.